Molecule: RNA transcript, 1923 nt
Organism: Brachypodium distachyon (stiff brome)
Lineage: Eukaryota; Viridiplantae; Streptophyta; Magnoliopsida; Poales; Poaceae
Gene name: diphthine methyltransferase homolog
Exons: 4
Source: RefSeq, a predicted model, not a curated record
CUGAUUGACUCUUUUGCCCCCGCCGCUGAAGCGAAGCGAUUUCGAGUUCUCGAGUCUUUGCCGCCGCCGCCGAGGGCAAAGCGAGGUCUAGAGAUGGAUUUGGGGUCCUUCCACCUUGGCGGCAACGCCGAUGUCGUGGAGUUCUGCCCGCAUCGCCCUUUCCGCCACAUCCUGGCCGCGGCCACAUACACGCUGCAGGAGCAGGUUACUGAGGAGCAGCAGCAGGACCGCGCGGGAACCGUGUCCCUCUUCUCCGUCGAUGCCGGCGCGGAGGACGAGUCCCAGCGGCUCCGGCUGCUCCACACGGUGGAUACCGCAGGCGUAUUCGACAUGAAGUGGAGCCCCACGGCGCCGCUGCUCGCGCAGGCCGACGCCCACGGUCGCCUGGUGCUCCGACGCCUGGAGCAGGAGGACGGCUCGGACAAAGGUGUUGUUCUAACAGAUGUCUGUAGCGGAGACGUUUCUUCUUCAAUGUGCUUGUAUGUGGACUGGAACCAGAAUGCUGAUUCUCUGUCCGUUGGACUAUCAGAUGGUUCACUGUCUGUGAUUUCCAUGAGAGAGGACUGCUUGGAGGUAUCAGAACACUGGACUGCUCAUCAGUAUGAAGUUUGGACUUGUUAUUUUGAUCGUGCAAGGCCACACUUAUUGUAUAGUGGAUCAGAUGACUGCUCUUUCAGUUGCUGGGACUUGCGGGAAAGCCCAUCAAAUGCUGUGUUUCGGGAUAAAAAGUCUCAUAGUAUGGGUGUAUGUUGUAUUGCUCAGAACCCACUGGAUGGGAACAUGCUACUCACUGGAAGCUAUGAUGAAUUUCUCAGAGUUUGGGAUAUGAGAUCAAUGGUGAAACCUGUAAAUGAGAAGUCCCUAAAUUUAGGGGGAGGUGUAUGGAGGAUGAAAUAUCAUCCUAGUAUCGCGGAUGUUGUAUUGUCUGCAUGCAUGCACAAUGGGUUUGCCAUUGUUAAAGUAGGUGCUGGAGAUGCUACAGUUAUGGAAACAUAUUGCAAGCAUGAGUCCUUAGCAUAUGGUGCGGAUUGGCAGACAAGCGAAGCGCCAGAACAUAGUACAGCUUCUUCAGUUAUUGCUACUUGUUCAUUUUAUGAUCGCCUUCUCCGUGUGUGGCAACCGGAGGAAUUAGUCAAGCACCCAGGCUUUAAGUCCUAAACCAUUAUUGGGCUCAAUUCAAGUCUCACUAUGACAUGGACCGACAUAUUUCCUGAAUGAACCAAAUUGAUUUCAUUCAGAGCUCAGCUGCUGGAGUUAUGGCCUUCUUCGGUCUCAUUAUGAAUGGCUACCCAGGGGAUUCUAUGAUGUGAAGGGGUUCACCCCUAUACGGCUACACUACACCUAAUUUUAUGGAUUAGUCUGAUAUCAGCAACCUCAUGAGCAUAUAAGGCAACCCUUCCCCCUCCUCUUGUCCACAGCCUCUACCAACUAUGGAAGAUGCAUGGCUUGAGCAUCUACAUAGUUCUUGAGAGCAGAAGCAGGAUGAGGAUGGACCGCAAAGCUGAGCUCCUGCGCAAGAAGCGCUUCAGUUUUGUGGUGCCUUGCCUGAUCUCCCAGGUGGUCAUCUGAGGUACACACGAACCGGCAAGUCACAAAACGGCAGUGGUGAACUCCAGCAGGAGUCUACCCUUUUUUUUUCGCUUUCCUUCCAGUUGUAUCAGGUGGAUGCCAAAUAAUCUGAAGUCUCUGUCUCUGUGCGAUGUAUCCAUGAAUCCUUCACUGUUGAGUCGGUGUUUGUUUUAUGUGUAUUCUGGAGACACUCUGCUAUGAAUGGCAGAUGUUUAUGUAGCAAAAAUCAUGGUGUCCCAUUUCCUUGGCUAUUUUCUUACUGGUUACCGGUUAUAUAUUUUGCUUCCAAGCAAAUUUGUGUCUGUUGGGUGUGCAAAAAUAAGCACCUAUAAUUUGAACUCUUAUCUUGUUCUA